AAUGGGUCAGCGACUUAUAUUCUGUAGCAAGGUUAACCGAAUAGGGGAGCCGAAGGGAAACCGAGUCUUAACUGGGCGUUAAGUUGCAGGGUAUAGACCCGAAACCCGGUGAUCUAGCCAUGGGCAGGUUGAAGGUUGGGUAACACUAACUGGAGGACCGAACCGACUAAUGUUGAAAAAUUAGCGGAUGACUUGUGGCUGGGGGUGAAAGGCCAAUCAAACCGGGAGAUAGCUGGUUCUCCCCGAAAGCUAUUUAGGUAGCGCCUCGUGAAUUCAUCUCCGGGGGUAGAGCACUGUUUCGGCAAGGGGGUCAUCCCGACUUACCAACCCGAUGCAAACUGCGAAUACCGGAGAAUGUUAUCACGGGAGACACACGGCGGGUGCUAACGUCCGUCGUGAAGAGGGAAACAACCCAGACCGCCAGCUAAGGUCCCAAAGUCAUGGUUAAGUGGGAAACGAUGUGGGAAGGCCCAGACAGCCAGGAUGUUGGCUUAGAAGCAGCCAUCAUUUAAAGAAAGCGUAAUAGCUCACUGGUCGAGUCGGCCUGCGCGGAAGAUGUAACGGGGCUAAACCAUGCACCGAAGCUGCGGCAGCGACGCUUAUGCGUUGUUGGGUAGGGGAGCGUUCUGUAAGCCUGUGAAGGUGUGCUGUGAGGCAUGCUGGAGGUAUCAGAAGUGCGAAUGCUGACAUAAGUAACGAUAAAGCGGGUGAAAAGCCCGCUCGCCGGAAGACCAAGGGUUCCUGUCCAACGUUAAUCGGGGCAGGGUGAGUCGACCCCUAAGGCGAGGCCGAAAGGCGUAGUCGAUGGGAAACAGGUUAAUAUUCCUGUACUUGGUGUUACUGCGAAGGGGGGACGGAGAAGGCUAUGUUGGCCGGGCGACGGUUGUCCCGGUUUAAGCGUGUAGGCUGGUUUUCCAGGCAAAUCCGGAAAAUCAAGGCUGAGGCGUGAUGACGAGGCACUACGGUGCUGAAGCAACAAAUGCCCUGCUUCCAGGAAAAGCCUCUAAGCAUCAGGUAACAUCAAAUCGUACCCCAAACCGACACAGGUGGUCAGGUAGAGAAUACCAAGGCGCUUGAGAGAACUCGGGUGAAGGAACUAGGCAAAAUGGUGCCGUAACUUCGGGAGAAGGCACGCUGAUAUGUAGGUGAAGUCCCUUGCGGAUGGAGCUGAAAUCAGUCGAAGAUACCAGCUGGCUGCAACUGUUUAUUAAAAACACAGCACUGUGCAAACACGAAAGUGGACGUAUACGGUGUGACGCCUGCCCGGUGCCGGAAGGUUAAUUGAUGGGGUCAGCGCAAGCGAAGCUCUUGAUCGAAGCCCCGGUAAACGGCGGCCGUAACUAUAACGGUCCUAAGGUAGCGAAAUUCCUUGUCGGGUAAGUUCCGACCUGCACGAAUGGCGUAAUGAUGGCCAGGCUGUCUCCACCCGAGACUCAGUGAAAUUGAACUCGCUGUGAAGAUGCAGUGUACCCGCGGCAAGACGGAAAGACCCCGU
This 1495-nucleotide ribosomal RNA is filed under the name Escherichia coli. RNAcentral's name for it is "partial 23S ribosomal RNA". It matches the Rfam family "Bacterial large subunit ribosomal RNA", at positions 614 to 2094 of the family's 2925-position model. Lineage: Bacteria; Pseudomonadati; Pseudomonadota; Gammaproteobacteria; Enterobacterales; Enterobacteriaceae. The record is from RNAcentral.